Molecule: ribosomal RNA, 304 nt
Filed under: uncultured bacterium
Lineage: Bacteria
Description: partial 16S ribosomal RNA
Rfam family: Bacterial small subunit ribosomal RNA
Source: RNAcentral
CAGCAGCAGCCGCGGGAAUACGGAGGGUGCAAGCGUUAAUCGGAAUUACUGGGCGUAAAGCGCACGCAGGCGGUUUGCUAAGUCAGAUGUGAAAUCCCCGAGCUUAACUUGGGAACUGCAUUUGAAACUGGCAAGCUAGAGUCUUGUAGAGGGGGGUAGAGUUCCAGGUGUAGCGGUGAAAUGCGUAGAGAUCUGGAGGAAUACCGGUGGCGAAGGCGGCCCCCUGGACAAAGACUGACGCUCAGGUGCGAAAGCGUGGGGAGCAAACAGGAUUAGAUACCCGAGUAGUCCCUGUCUCUUAUAC